UUUAUACUACGUAUACCCAGACAUGUUUAUGUGGCAAGAUUAGAAGUAAAGUUUAGAUGAAAAUUUCGAAAGGUAUACCCAUGAGAAAACAUUUGUUGUUCACUUUAAUUGCAAAUGCCCACACGAUCGAAAAGAUAUAUUGUUCAUUUUAGAUCAUAUGUGUAUAAAAUGCUUACGUGAAAGGAAAACUUGGGAAGGAGGUGAGAAUGAAGGGUGAGGUCACGAAUACGGUUUCGCUCAAAGACUAACGUGCGCGAGGAGAGAGCAAGGGUGAGGACAAAUGAGCAGAGGAGAGUGAAGGGCCACAUGACGUAUGUGAGAUACCAUGGGGAUCGAGACCACAAGGGGAUAG
Molecule: long non-coding RNA, 352 nt
Filed under: Capsella grandiflora
Lineage: Eukaryota; Viridiplantae; Streptophyta; Magnoliopsida; Brassicales; Brassicaceae
Description: long non-coding RNA (CGRA_LNC000614)
Source: RNAcentral